RNAcentral lists this unclassified non-coding RNA (283 nucleotides) under Hevea brasiliensis (rubber tree). Lineage: Eukaryota; Viridiplantae; Streptophyta; Magnoliopsida; Malpighiales; Euphorbiaceae. The record is from RNAcentral.
AGAUUUUCAGAAAGUUGGAAGAAAUCAUCUUGCUGGUACACAUUUAUACACUGAAAGCCAUUCUAGAUUAGAUUACUCUACAGCUUAAUAUGAGUAAGCCUUCUUGGGACAUUUUCCCCUAAAAUACACAUGAUUCUAUUCCUAUAAGAAUUUAUUAAAAUUAACAACAAAUAUUGUAAUUACUAACUGUUGUACCCAACAUCUGAGCUUCCAUGAAAAUUUUCCAUCAAACGAAGUAUGAUUCUUUUCCUAACCCAAAUCCCUGAUGCACUAGAUGCAGCAU